UAGUCUCGCACAGAUGCAUAUCAAUAAGCGGAGGAAAAGAAACUAACAAGGAUUCCCCUAGUAACGGCGAGUGAAGCGGGAAGAGCUCAAAUUUGAAAUCUUAAAGGGUUUCCCUUUACGAAUUGUAGUUUAAAGAAGUGUUUUCUGUUGAGGUUUUGGUAAAAGUUCUUUGGAAUAGGACAUCAUAGAGGGUGAGAAUCCCGUAUUUGACCUUUACUUUCAACUUUGUGAUACACUUUCAAAGAGUCGGAUUGUUUGGGAAUGCAGUCCAAAAUGGGUGGUAAAUUUCAUCUAAAGCUAAAUAUUGGCGAGAGACCGAUAGCGAACAAGUACCGUGAGGGAAAGAUGAAAAGAACUUUGAAAAGAGAGUUAAACAGUACGUGAAAUUGUCAAAAGGGAAGCGUUUGACACCAGUGUUGUUUUUCUGAAAAUCAAUUAAAGAACUGUUUAUGCUAAGCUGUUUAGACUUUAUCAGCUAACUGUUUAGUUUUGAGCUUUUCUUUAAUGCACUUUUCAGUUAACAAGUCAACAUCAAUUUCUUUUGCUGUAAAAAAGCUUGAGGAAGGUGGCUUGAGAUUCGUCUUAAGUGUUUAUAGCCUCUUGCCUAUGCAGUCGGAGAGAUUGAGGUCCGCAGCGUAGAUCCUUCGGGGCUAAAUGCAUUUGUGCUAAGUUAUAGCAUUUCAUAGACAACUUGUUGACUAUGAUUUGUCUUGUAGCUUACUCGCUUAUGUUAUUUUACCUACGCUUAGGAUGUUGACAGCAGUAUAGACUGU
This 773-nucleotide ribosomal RNA is filed under the name uncultured Neocallimastigales. Its description in RNAcentral is "partial large subunit ribosomal RNA". It matches the Rfam family "Eukaryotic large subunit ribosomal RNA", at positions 24 to 637 of the family's 3401-position model. The record is from RNAcentral. Lineage: Eukaryota; Fungi; Neocallimastigomycota; Neocallimastigomycetes; Neocallimastigales.